AAGUCGUAACAAGGUUUCCGUAGGUGAACCUGCGGAAGGAUCAUUACAAAUCAAUAGAGGAGUAUCGAUAAGUGAAGGGGGAGGGUAGUUGGGGGUUGGUAGGUGUUAGGUAGGUAUAUAUAUACCCGCCUUGCCAACUAACCAACUCUGCCACCACUGACACUACGAUACCUACCUCCAUGUGUUCGAGGCAGCAAUGCUUCGUGACAUUUACGCUUGUUUUGUUUGCCAGAGUAGUAGUGAUUAUUAUGAAAGAGACAACUUUUAACAAUGGAUCUCUUGGCUCUU
RNAcentral lists this unclassified non-coding RNA (288 nucleotides) under fungal sp. RNAcentral's name for it is "partial internal transcribed spacer region". The stretch from base 1 to 46 matches the Rfam family "Eukaryotic small subunit ribosomal RNA", at positions 1786 to 1831 of the family's 1831-position model. The record is from RNAcentral. Lineage: Eukaryota; Fungi.